Molecule: non-coding RNA, 29 nt
Filed under: Homo sapiens (human)
Lineage: Eukaryota; Metazoa; Chordata; Mammalia; Primates; Hominidae
Source: RNAcentral
UUGAACCUUACUUUUGAGGUGAAAAGUGA